GGUUAAGCGACUAAGCGUACACGGUGGAUGCCCUGGCAGUCAGAGGCGAUGAAGGACGUGCUAAUCUGCGAUAAGCGUCGGUAAGGUGAUAUGAACCGUUAUAACCGGCGAUUUCCGAAUGGGGAAACCCAGUGUGAUUCGUCACACUAUCAUUAACUGAAUCCAUAGGUUAAUGAGGCGAACCGGGGGAACUGAAACAUCUAAGUACCCCGAGGAAAAGAAAUCAACCGAGAUUCCCCCAGUAGCGGCGAGCGAACGGGGAGGAGCCCAGAGCCUGAAUCAGUGUGUGUGUUAGUGGAAGCGUCUGGAAAGGCGCGCGAUACAGGGUGACAGCCCCGUACACAAAAAUGCACAUGCUGUGAGCUCGAUGAGUAGGGCGGGACACGUGGUAUCCUGUCUGAAUAUGGGGGGACCAUCCUCCAAGGCUAAAUACUCCUGACUGACCGAUAGUGAACCAGUACCGUGAGGGAAAGGCGAAAAGAACCCCGGCGAGGGGAGUGAAAAAGAACCUGAAACCGUGUACGUACAAGCAGUGGGAGCCUCUUUAUGGGGUGACUGCGUACCUUUUGUAUAAUGGGUCAGCGACUUAUAUUCUGUAGCAAGGUUAACCGAAUAGGGGAGCCGAAGGGAAACCGAGUCUUAACUGGGCGUUAAGUUGCAGGGUAUAGACCCGAAACCCGGUGAUCUAGCCAUGGGCAGGUUGAAGGUUGGGUAACACUAACUGGAGGACCGAACCGACUAAUGUUGAAAAAUUAGCGGAUGACUUGUGGCUGGGGGUGAAAGGCCAAUCAAACCGGGAGAUAGCUGGUUCUCCCCGAAAGCUAUUUAGGUAGCGCCUCGUGAAUUCAUCUCCGGGGGUAGAGCACUGUUUCGGCAAGGGGGUCAUCCCGACUUACCAACCCGAUGCAAACUGCGAAUACCGGAGAAUGUUAUCACGGGAGACACACGGCGGGUGCUAACGUCCGUCGUGAAGAGGGAAACAACCCAGACCGCCAGCUAAGGUCCCAAAGUCAUGGUUAAGUGGGAAACGAUGUGGGAAGGCCCAGACAGCCAGGAUGUUGGCUUAGAAGCAGCCAUCAUUUAAAGAAAGCGUAAUAGCUCACUGGUCGAGUCGGCCUGCGCGGAAGAUGUAACGGGGCUAAACCAUG
RNAcentral lists this ribosomal RNA (1148 nucleotides) under Escherichia coli. RNAcentral describes it as "partial 23S ribosomal RNA". It matches the Rfam family "Bacterial large subunit ribosomal RNA", at positions 1 to 1191 of the family's 2925-position model. The record is from RNAcentral. Lineage: Bacteria; Pseudomonadati; Pseudomonadota; Gammaproteobacteria; Enterobacterales; Enterobacteriaceae.